CAAAUUUGAAGAAGGGCUCGAAGCCAAUGCGAGUAAUCGAACGUAAAAGGAAUAAAAGCUGCAACGCCUCCCCCAAGCUUGCCGACUUUAUGACUCGCAUUAAUUGGAAAUUUACUAGCGCCUGUUCUUCCACUACGAGUACACAAGGCGAUGUCUAGUAGGCUCAAAUGUAGGAUACCUUGGAGAUUGGACUGUGGCACUUAGCACCAAAAUGUUCCAUGGGCCGCCGGAAGGUGGCGAGAGCAACAUUUGAUUAAGACAAUCAAUUGGGUUGUGCUUGCCGCUGUGCGGUGUGUCACAUUUGGCACCAAAUGAAGAAUAAGGUGUUUGAGAUAAAAUAAAAAUGUCCUGUCAGAAGACUUAACUGGAAGAAUCAUUAAACAGAUUAUGAAAAAGAUGGUUGGUCCGAAUAUUUCUUAUAAACUUCAUACUUCUGUAUCA
Sesamum indicum (sesame) is the source of this 441-nucleotide non-coding RNA. The record is from RefSeq and is a predicted model, not a curated record. Lineage: Eukaryota; Viridiplantae; Streptophyta; Magnoliopsida; Lamiales; Pedaliaceae.